This 1179-nucleotide ribosomal RNA is filed under the name Shigella flexneri. RNAcentral describes it as "partial 23S ribosomal RNA". It matches the Rfam family "Bacterial large subunit ribosomal RNA", at positions 1 to 1221 of the family's 2925-position model. Lineage: Bacteria; Pseudomonadati; Pseudomonadota; Gammaproteobacteria; Enterobacterales; Enterobacteriaceae. The record is from RNAcentral.
GUUAAGCGACUAAGCGUACACGGUGGAUGCCCUGGCAGUCAGAGGCGAUGAAGGACGUGCUAAUCUGCGAUAAGCGUCGGUAAGGUGAUAUGAACCGUUAUAACCGGCGAUUUCCGAAUGGGGAAACCCAGUGUGAUUCGUCACACUAUCAUUAACUGAAUCCAUAGGUUAAUGAGGCGAACCGGGGGAACUGAAACAUCUAAGUACCCCGAGGAAAAGAAAUCAACCGAGAUUCCCCCAGUAGCGGCGAGCGAACGGGGAGCAGCCCAGAGCCUGAAUCAGUGUGUGUGUUAGUGGAAGCGUCUGGAAAGGCGUGCGAUACAGGGUGACAGCCCCGUACACAAAAAUGCACAUACUGUGAGCUCGAUGAGUAGGGCGGGACACGUGGUAUCCUGUCUGAAUAUGGGGGGACCAUCCUCCAAGGCUAAAUACUCCUGACUGACCGAUAGUGAACCAGUACCGUGAGGGAAAGGCGAAAAGAACCCCGGCGAGGGGAGUGAAAAAGAACCUGAAACCGUGUACGUACAAGCAGUGGGAGCACGCUUAGGCGUGUGACUGCGUACCUUUUGUAUAAUGGGUCAGCGACUUAUAUUCUGUAGCAAGGUUAACCGAAUAGGGGAGCCGAAGGGAAACCGAGUCUUAACUGGGCGUUAAGUUGCAGGGUAUAGACCCGAAACCCGGUGAUCUAGCCAUGGGCAGGUUGAAGGUUGGGUAACACUAACUGGAGGACCGAACCGACUAAUGUUGAAAAAUUAGCGGAUGACUUGUGGCUGGGGGUGAAAGGCCAAUCAAACCGGGAGAUAGCUGGUUCUCCCCGAAAGCUAUUUAGGUAGCGCCUCGUGAAUUCAUCUCCGGGGGUAGAGCACUGUUUCGGCAAGGGGGUCAUCCCGACUUACCAACCCGAUGCAAACUGCGAAUACCGGAGAAUGUUAUCACGGGAGACACACGGCGGGUGCUAACGUCCGUCGUGAAGAGGGAAACAACCCAGACCGCCAGCUAAGGUCCCAAAGUCAUGGUUAAGUGGGAAACGAUGUGGGAAGGCCCAGACAGCCAGGAUGUUGGCUUAGAAGCAGCCAUCAUUUAAAGAAAGCGUAAUAGCUCACUGGUCGAGUCGGCCUGCGCGGAAGAUGUAACGGGGCUAAACCAUGCACCGAAGCUGCGGCAGCGACGCUUAUGCGU